This 1489-nucleotide long non-coding RNA is filed under the name Ictidomys tridecemlineatus (thirteen-lined ground squirrel). RNAcentral describes it as "lncRNA (ENSSTOG00000031254.1)". The record is from RNAcentral. Lineage: Eukaryota; Metazoa; Chordata; Mammalia; Rodentia; Sciuridae.
CCUUCUCCCCACUAGUUCAGAGGAAAGAAAGAAAAAGAAAUCGCCCCCUCACCAUAAUCAGCCCUCCUUAAAACAGUAAUCUCCACCUUUAAAAAAUUAUAUAUCUAAUAUGCGGUGGCAAAAUCCCUGAGUAAGGUCGGAAUGCCCCACCGCUCCCCGUUUUUCCCCAAUACUACGCCCACCCUGGGAGGAGAGGAGGAGGGUCGCACAAAUACACGUACCCGGACACCCCUAUUCUCUAGAAUCGCCUCUUUCCAGGGUCUGAGGUUUCAGGCGAGAAGUGAACCAUGCAGGGGAGGACCUCUGCCCGAGGAGGUUCAGGAGAAGAGCAAACUGUGUGCGCUCCGGUGCCCGGGCGCGGGGCUCGUGGACGCGGGAGCGUGUCGCUCCGGCCGGGGAGGCGCCGGCAGCCCGGGAUGGGCGCAGGGCGAUCCCGGCGCGGCUAGAAGGGAGGACACAGAGGGGCGGACUGGUCAGGCAGGGGACUUACCUGGUCAUGUUGGCUCCGGGCAGCCGCCGCCACCGCCUCCCGCGCCGCCACCAGCACUUUGCUCCAGCGCCUUCGCGCCCCGCCACGGCCGCGCAGCCUGCGCCUGCCCGCGCCGCCGCCUCCGGACGGCCAAUUUAAUCCCGCCGAGCAGCGGCCGCCGCCGCGGGAACCCCCCUGAUCGCCGCCGCCGCCCAGUCCCGGUGCGGCCAGCCCAGUCCAGAGCGAGGAAGUGGAGGAGAGUCAGCGAGAAAAUAACUCAGUGCCUCUGAGCGGAUUUCAGCAUUUCUGAAGAGGCUAGUUGUCUUUUUCCAGGACUUGCCUUUUUCUUUCCUCUAUUCUCUUUAGAGGUGGAGGAAUCACCAGUGGUAUUAUUUUACCUAAAUCUACAAGCUUUUUAAUUCUGCUCUGCACAGCUGGCUUAUUCUAACAGUGGUCUGUACUCUGAAGGAUGCUUCUAGCUGCUAGCACUAGUUGGCAAUUGGGGGUAGGAUUGAAUCCUACCUACUACCCUUCCAACCAUAACUAAGGUCGUAAGAGCCUGCAGAUACCUCAAGUCUCCUUCAGCAGGAAGCUGUAAUUAUAGGAAAUUUAGUGGACAUUGAAGUGCAAACGUAGCAGCCUGCUGGGACAUUUCAGUGGGCUUCAGCAUUCUAGGAUGCUUCUCGUUCUAGCUAUUUUACUUGGAAUUUGCCAUCAACUGUUUGUGUUGCCGUCUGUCUUUUCCUGUCAGUUUUUAGAAAAGCUUUAAAAGAUAUACCCUUAGCUUGCUUGCCCCCCCCCCGCCCCAAUUUUAUUGCAACAGCAUGAAAUAACCACCCUGGAAAUACCAUCUCAUAUAUCACAAGAAAAACAAAAACAACAAACAGAUCUUUCAACAAACAAACAAAACAAAAACAACAACAACAAAACCUUCUUAGAAUAAAGCUACACAUUUCAAGGGAGGAGAUGUUAUUUUUAUCUUGGAAUUAGUCCUAAUCCAUGCACAGAAUGGAGAGAAGA